AUGAACGCUGGCGGCGUGCUUAACACAUGCAAGUCGAGCGAGAAGUUUUGAAAAGAUUCUUCGGAUGAAAUUUAAAAUGGAAAGCGGCGGACGGGUGAGUAACGCGUAGGCAACCUGCCCCAUACAAAGGGAUAGCAUUUGGAAACGAAUAUUAAUACCUUAUGAAACUUAACUAGUGCAUGCUAGGUAGGUCAAAGAUUUAUCGGUAUGGGAUGGGCCUGCGUCUGAUUAGCUAGUUGGUGAGGUAACGGCUCACCAAGGCGACGAUCAGUAGCCGACCUGAGAGGGUGAACGGCCACAUUGGAACUGAGACACGGUCCAAACUCCUACGGGAGGCAGCAGUGGGGAAUAUUGCACAAUGGGGGAAACCCUGAUGCAGCAACGCCGCGUGAACGAUGAAGGCCUUUGGGUCGUAAAGUUCUGUUCUAGGUGAUGAGAACUGACAGUAACCUAGGAGAAAGCCCCGGCUAACUCCGUG
This 478-nucleotide ribosomal RNA is filed under the name uncultured bacterium. Its description in RNAcentral is "partial 16S ribosomal RNA". It matches the Rfam family "Bacterial small subunit ribosomal RNA", at positions 29 to 507 of the family's 1533-position model. The record is from RNAcentral.